This 73-nucleotide transfer RNA is filed under the name Stegodyphus mimosarum. It matches the Rfam family "tRNA". From Rfam's summary of the family: Transfer RNA (tRNA) molecules are approximately 80 nucleotides in length. Their secondary structure includes four short double-helical elements and three loops (D, anti-codon, and T loops). Lineage: Eukaryota; Metazoa; Arthropoda; Arachnida; Araneae; Eresidae. The record is from Rfam by way of RNAcentral.
GCCUUCGUGGUGUAGUGAGCAGCACGCUCGACGCGUAACCGAGAGGUCCGUGGUUCGAUUCCCGGCGAAGGCG